GCUAAACGCGAAGAACCUUACCUGGGCUUGACAUGCAUCUCUAAGCGCGUGAAAGCGCGUGACCCUUCGGGGGAUUUGCACAGGUGCUGCAUGGCCGUCGUCAGCUCGUGUCGUGAGAUGUUGGGUUAAGUCCCGCAACGAGCGCAACCCUUGUGAACAGUUGCCAGCGGUUCGGCCGGGAACUCUGUUCAGACUGCCCAGAUCAACUGGGAGGAAGGUGGGGACGACGUCAGGUCAGUAUGGCCCUUACGCCCAGGGCUGCACACGUACUACAAUGCCCAGCACAAUGAGAACCGAUGCCGCGAGGUGGAGGAAAUCUGCAAAACUGGGCCCAGUUCGGAUUGGAGGCUGCAACUCGCCUCCAUGAAGCCGGAAUCGCUAGUAAUGGCGCAUCAGCUACGGCGCCGUGAAUACGUUCCCGGGUCUUGUACACACCG
This 437-nucleotide ribosomal RNA is filed under the name uncultured bacterium. RNAcentral describes it as "bacterial SSU rRNA". It matches the Rfam family "Bacterial small subunit ribosomal RNA", at positions 954 to 1392 of the family's 1533-position model. The record is from RNAcentral.